Long non-coding RNA from Papaver somniferum (opium poppy), 481 nucleotides. RefSeq lists it as uncharacterized. NCBI's taxonomy places the organism in Eukaryota, Viridiplantae, Streptophyta, Magnoliopsida, Ranunculales, Papaveraceae. The record is from RefSeq and is a predicted model, not a curated record. The transcript has 2 exons.
ACGCUGAUGAUAACAGAUAAUUUAUGUAGGGAGAGAGAUAACAAUCUCUUCACGGUACACACUUUAGUAUCAAGUUAGAUCAGAACACCAAAGAAAUGAGGCUUAUUAAUAUACUCUUAUAAUAAGGAAGAGCUUUUUAACUAAGUACUAACUAAUCCUCCAGUGAGAUACCAAGAAAUAAAGUCGAAUUUAGAACUAGAUAUAGCUAGUAAUACCAUGAGAUCUGAGUAGUCAAUAGUUGUCGGGGCUAGCAUAUUUCCCGGCGCUCAUGAAAAGGAAAAGAAAAGUCAGGUAGAGUGUGUUUGGUGACGAAGAUGGUGGGAAAUUGUAGACUUGUAGUUUUGGGGUUCUCUUUAUAAUUAAGGAGGCAUGCAUGAUUUGAAGUCUUAUUUAGCCGAGGUUGAUGUUUUAGAAUUCUUAUAUGAUCUCCUUUUUCAAAAAAAUGAAUAAAUAAAUAAAAAUGAUAUCAUCUUUAAUUGUA